This 253-nucleotide ribosomal RNA is filed under the name uncultured Eubacteriales bacterium. RNAcentral describes it as "uncultured Clostridiales bacterium partial 16S ribosomal RNA". It matches the Rfam family "Bacterial small subunit ribosomal RNA", at positions 524 to 776 of the family's 1533-position model. The record is from RNAcentral. Lineage: Bacteria; Bacillati; Bacillota; Clostridia; Eubacteriales.
UACAUAGGGAGCAAGCGUUAUCCGGAUUUAUUGGGUGUAAAGGGUGCGUAGACGGGAAAUUAAGUUAGUUGUGAAAUCCCUCGGCUUAACUGAGGAACUGCAACUAAAACUGAUUUUCUUGAGUACUGGAGAGGAAAGUGGAAUUCCUAGUGUAGCGGUGAAAUGCGUAGAUAUUAGGAGGAACAUCAGUGGCGAAGGCGACUUUCUGGACUGUAACUGACGCUCAUACACGAAAGCGUGGGGAGCAAACAGG